AAGACCUUGCGCUUUUGGAGCGGCCGAUGCCUGAUUAGCUUGUUGGUAAGGUAAAAGCUUACCAAGGCUUCGAUCAGUAGCUGGUCUGAGAGGACGGCCAGCCACACUGGGACUGAGACACGGCCCAGACUCCUACGGGAGGCAGCAGUGGGGAAUUUUGGACAAUGGGCGCAAGCCUGAUCCAGCCAUGCCGCGUGAGUGAAGAAGGCCUUCGGGUUGUAAAGCUCUUUCAGCCGGGAAGAAAAGGCUACGACGAAUAAUCGUAGCUCAUGACGGUACCGGAAGAAGAAGCACCGGCUAACUACGUGCCAGCAGCCGCGGUAAUACGUAGGGUGCGAGCGUUAAUCGGAAUUACUGGGCGUAAAGGGUGCGCAGGCGGCUUUGUAAGUCAGAUGUGAAAUCCCCGGGCUUAACCUGGGAACU
This 423-nucleotide ribosomal RNA is filed under the name uncultured bacterium. RNAcentral's name for it is "bacterial SSU rRNA". It matches the Rfam family "Bacterial small subunit ribosomal RNA", at positions 207 to 622 of the family's 1533-position model. The record is from RNAcentral.